This is a non-coding RNA of Pelobates cultripes (western spadefoot toad), 336 nucleotides long. NCBI's taxonomy places the organism in Eukaryota, Metazoa, Chordata, Amphibia, Anura, Pelobatidae. The record is from the annotation of a GenBank genome assembly.
GUCAAAGUCAUUUAGAUUGAAUUUCUUUCCUUUCUUGGUAUUUGAUUUAAACAGCAAUUCACUUUCACAACAUUCAUUAAGUUGCUGCCACAUUACUUACUUAUUAGAUAUCUGCAUAAACAAGCAUAAAAUGAUCACUGUGUAUAUAAUAGUGAUCAUCAAAUUAAGUUAGUAUCUGAUAAAUUUGGAGGUCUUUGAUGCAAUCACAGGUUAAGUAUCAUACGGCCAAAAUAUACAACUAAAUCUUUUUUUUUUUUUCUGUUUUAAAGUUGCAAAAAACUUUUGAACCCCCUGGAAUUACCUUGAUUUCUAUAUUGAUUUAUUUUUAUAAUGUGG